Molecule: ribosomal RNA, 638 nt
Filed under: Carabus piochardi praestigiator
Lineage: Eukaryota; Metazoa; Arthropoda; Insecta; Coleoptera; Carabidae
Also listed under: 3 other names
Description: partial 28S ribosomal RNA
Rfam family: Eukaryotic large subunit ribosomal RNA
Source: RNAcentral
AGUCUAGCAUGUGCGCGAGUCAUUGGGACUCAAUAAACCUAAAGGCGCAAUGAAAGUGAAAGUCUGUUUACGCGGACUUAGGGAGGAUAGGUGCGUACACUUUGUGUACAACCUCGCACUCCCGGGGCGUCUCGCACUCAUUGCGAGGUGGGGCGCACCAAGAGCGUACACGCUGGGACCCGAAAGAUGGUGAACUAUGCCUGGUCAGGACGAAGUCAGGGGAAACCCUGAUGGAGGUCCGUAGCGAUUCUGACGUGCAAAUCGAUCGUCGGAACUGGGCUUAGGGGCGAAAGACUAAUCGAACCAUCUAGUAGCUGGUUCCCACCGAAGUUUCCCUCAGGAUAGCUGGCACUAGAUUAUGGAUGAGUCUCAUCCGGUAAAGCGAAUGAUUAGAGGCAUUGGGGUCGAAACGGCCUCAACCUAUUCUCAAACUUUAAAUGGGUGAGAUCUCCGGCUUGCUCGAUUUAUGAAGCCGGAGAUCGGAUCAAUUAGUGCCAAGUGGGCCACUUUUGGUAAGCAGAACUGGCGCUGUGGGAUGAACCAAACGCAGAGUUAAAGCGCCAAAAUCGACGCUUAUGGGAUACCAUGAAAGGCGUUGGUAACUUAAGACAGCAGGACGGUGGCCAUGGAAGUCGGAA